Molecule: ribosomal RNA, 504 nt
Filed under: uncultured bacterium
Lineage: Bacteria
Description: partial 16S ribosomal RNA
Rfam family: Bacterial small subunit ribosomal RNA
Source: RNAcentral
AUUGAACGCUGGCGGCAGGCCUAACACAUGCAAGUCGAACGGUAGCACAGAGAGCUUGCUCUCGGGUGACGAGUGGCGGACGGGUGAGUAACGUCUGGGAAACUGCCCGAUGGAGGGGGAUAACUACUGGAAACGGUAGCUAAUACCGCAUAACGUCGCAAGACCAAAGUGGGGGACCUUCGGGCCUCACACCAUCGGAUGUGCCCAGAUGGGAUUAGCUAGUAGGUGGGGUAAUGGCUCACCUAGGCGACGAUCCCUAGCUGGUCUGAGAGGAUGACCGGCCACACUGGAACUGAGACACGGUCCAGACUCCUACGGGAGGCAGCAGUGGGGAAUAUUGCACAAUGGGCGCAAGCCUGAUGCAGCCAUGCCGCGUGUAUGAAGAAGGCCUUCGGGUUGUAAAGUACUUUCAGCGGGGAGGAAGGCGGUGAAGUUAAUAGCUUCACCGAUUGACGUUACCCGCAGAAGAAGCACCGGCUAACUCCGUGCCAGCAGCCGCCGCCG